RNAcentral lists this unclassified non-coding RNA (188 nucleotides) under soil metagenome. RNAcentral's name for it is "partial internal transcribed spacer 1". The record is from RNAcentral.
CAGAGUUGCAAAACUCCCACAAACCAUCGCGAGUCUUACCCGUACGGUUGCCUCGGCGCUGGCGGUCCGGAAGGCCCUCGGGCCCCCCGGAUCCUCGGGUCUCCCGCUCGCGGGAGGCUGCCCGCCGGAGUGCCGAAACCAAACUCUUGAUAUUUUAUGUCUCUCUGAGUAAACUUUUAAAUAAGUCA